Molecule: long non-coding RNA, 1264 nt
Filed under: Taeniopygia guttata (zebra finch)
Lineage: Eukaryota; Metazoa; Chordata; Aves; Passeriformes; Estrildidae
Description: lncRNA (ENSTGUG00000025482.1)
Source: RNAcentral
UACAGACUGGAAUGAACUGAACUGGGAUCAAAUACGGACAAGGAUCAAACAUGGACUGGGAUCCUAUGGACUGGUAUCAACAAGGGACUCGGAUAAAAUAGGGACUGGGAUCCUACAGACUGGGAUCAAAUUGGGACUGAGAUCAUAUGGACUUGGAUCAACUAGAGACCUGGAUCAACUAUGGGCUGUGUUCAAAUAGAGACUGGGAUCAGAUGUGGAUUGGGAUCAUAUGGACUGGAAUCAAAUAUAGACUGGGAUAAAAUUGGGACUGGGGUCAGAUAUGGAAUGGGAUCAUAUGUGUUGGGGAAGAUCAAAUAGGAAAGCCUUAUAAAUAUGACUGCCUGGCAAAAGGUUUAGAAAAUACAGAGACUGAGAUGGUAACAAGUUGUGACAUACCAAACCGUAGUUACUGCACAAGUAGAACACAAUAGCACAGCCAGGAUGAAGACAAUCCCCCCUUCUGGUUGAACAAUGCCCUUACCUACAGGUAGGUCCAAGGGUCAAAUGGACUGUUGGAUCUCACCCCAAUGUACGGUUCAUCCCACACCUGUAACCCUCCCCUGAAGCAUCAGGAGUCUGUGACCCCAUUGGCCUGAGUCUUGUUCCAGCCCACCUUGAAGCCCCUGACAAGGAGUCCCUGAGGAGCCAGAUGCUCUCUUGGAACUUCCCUUCUCUUGGAACUGCCCCUCUCCUGGAACAUCCUCUUGGGAUCCUCUCUUAUCUCCCUCUACCCCUUGCCUCUCCCUUCCCCCACGCCCUCGGGCCUGCCACGGGUCAGGUCUGGUGACUCCAAGCAGGGCCUUUCACCCUCUCUAAUAAACCAGAUAUUCUAAGGGCAGCCUCCAGAGAUCUCUCGUCUCCAUCCACCCAAAGCGUCCUGGAGUCCAGCAUCCUCGCAAUAUGGACUGGGAUCAACUAGGGACUGGGAUCAAAUACGGACUGGGAUCAAAUAUAGUCUGGGAUAAAAUAGGGACUGGGAUCAAAUACGGACUGGGAUCAAAUAGGGACAGGAAUAAACUAGAGAUUGGGAUCAAAUAUGGAACUGGGAUCCUAUGGACUGGGACAAACUGGACUGGGAUUAUAUGGAAUUGAGAUCCUAUGGAACAGCAUAAACUUUCUGACAUGACACAUAUAAUAUUCAUUGUAACACUUGCGAAAUGCCAAUUAUAAAUAUGCAUUUGUCACAAUCCCUCCUUUUAUUCUUUAUAAAUCAUUUGGCUUGAGCAAUAUUUCUUAUCCUCUUGCAUUCUUUGGACUCUGUUGG